GACGAACGCUGGCGGCGCGCUUAACACAUGCAAGUCGAACGGAAAGGCCUGCUUUCCCUUGUGGAUUGCGGGUACUCGAGUGGCGAACGGGUGAGUAACACGUGAGUGAUCUGCCCCCAACUUGGGUAUAAGCCUGGGAAACUGGGUCUAAUUCCCGAUAGGACUGCAGGGUGGUGCCUGUGGUGGAAAACGAUUUUCUAGUGGUUGGGGAUGAGCUCGCGGCCUAUCAGCUUGUUGGUGGGGUAAUGGCCUACCAAGGCGGCGACGGGUAGCCGGCCUGAGAGGGUGGACGGCCACAUUGGGACUGAGAUACGGCCCAGACUCCUACGGGAGGCAGCAGUGGGGAAUAUUAGACAAUGGGCGGAAGCCUGAUGCAGCGACGCCGCGUGGGGGAUGACGGCCUUCGGGUUGUAAACUCCUUUCGACCGCGAGGAAGCCACCUGGUUGGAAGGGUGGUGACGGUAGUGGUAGAAGAAGCACCGGCUAACUACGUG
RNAcentral lists this ribosomal RNA (494 nucleotides) under uncultured bacterium. Its description in RNAcentral is "partial 16S ribosomal RNA". It matches the Rfam family "Bacterial small subunit ribosomal RNA", at positions 28 to 507 of the family's 1533-position model. The record is from RNAcentral.